CUCUAGCCCUGAUGGGAACGGCAUCCUUUUUAUAAGGCUUUUUUUGCCUUAUAAAAAGAUAUAGUGGACAGCAGGAGAUUGC
Molecule: small RNA, 82 nt
Filed under: Flavobacterium sp. KMS
Lineage: Bacteria; Pseudomonadati; Bacteroidota; Flavobacteriia; Flavobacteriales; Flavobacteriaceae
Description: Flavo-1 RNA
Rfam family: Flavo-1 RNA
Source: Rfam by way of RNAcentral